AGCAGCCGCGGUAAUUCCAGCUCCAAUAGCGUAUAUUAAAGUUGUUGCAGUUAAAAAGCUCGUAGUUGAAUUUCGGGAUUAGUACGCUGGUCAUGCCUUUGGUAUGUACUGGUGUUACUGGUUCCUACCUUCUGAAGAACCGUUCAUUAAUUUGGUGUGGCGGGGAAUCAGGACUGUUACUUUGAAAAAAUUGAGUGUUUAAAGCAGGCUCGCGCUUGAAUACAUUAGCAUGGAAUAAUGAAAUAGGACGUUGAUCCUAUUUUGUUGGUUUCUAGGAUUGACGUAAUGAUUAAUAGGGAUAGUUGGGGGCAUUAGUAUUCAAUUGUCAGAGGUGAAAUUCUUGGAUUUUAUUGAAGACUAACUACUGCGAAAGCAUUUGCCAAGGAUGUUUCAUUAUCAAGAAUGAAAGUUAGGGAUCGAAGACGAUCAGAUACCGUCGUAGUCUUAACCAUUAAACGUAUGCCGACUAGGUAGUCGGAGUGUNUAGUUAUUUUUAAUUGUACUUCAUUCGGUCGCCGUU
This 520-nucleotide ribosomal RNA is filed under the name uncultured Glomus. RNAcentral describes it as "SSU rRNA". It matches the Rfam family "Eukaryotic small subunit ribosomal RNA", at positions 569 to 1090 of the family's 1831-position model. The record is from RNAcentral. Lineage: Eukaryota; Fungi; Glomeromycota; Glomeromycetes; Glomerales; Glomeraceae.